RNAcentral lists this transfer RNA (71 nucleotides) under Marmota monax (woodchuck). RNAcentral describes it as "tRNA.Ala". The stretch from base 3 to 65 matches the Rfam family "tRNA", at positions 5 to 66 of the family's 71-position model. Rfam says of the family: Transfer RNA (tRNA) molecules are approximately 80 nucleotides in length. Their secondary structure includes four short double-helical elements and three loops (D, anti-codon, and T loops). Further hydrogen bonds mediate the characteristic L-shaped molecular structure. tRNAs have two regions of fundamental functional importance: the anti-codon, which is responsible for specific mRNA codon recognition, and the 3' end, to which the tRNAs corresponding amino acid is attached (by aminoacyl-tRNA synthetases). tRNAs cope with the degeneracy of the genetic code in two manners: having more than one tRNA (with a specific anti-codon) for a particular amino acid; and 'wobble' base-pairing, i.e. permitting non-standard base-pairing at the 3rd anti-codon position. Lineage: Eukaryota; Metazoa; Chordata; Mammalia; Rodentia; Sciuridae. The record is from RNAcentral.
GAAUGUAGCUCAGUGGUAGGGUGCCUGCUCAGCAGGUAUGAGGUUCUGGGUUCAAUCCCCAGCAUAAGACA